This 1616-nucleotide long non-coding RNA is filed under the name Daphnia magna. RNAcentral's name for it is "uncharacterized LOC116927253, transcript variant X5". The record is from RNAcentral. Lineage: Eukaryota; Metazoa; Arthropoda; Branchiopoda; Diplostraca; Daphniidae.
UGGAAGCCCAGGACAUCUGGAACCUCCGUGGAAUCGAACCACGGACCUUGGAGUUGCCAGGCCGGCAUUCGGGAUAGGGAGCCCUCAGCAAAUACAACAACAGGCACAUAUUCAGGUUGUAACACAGAACUUUAUAUUUAGUACAACUGUGAUUCUUCACAAAACACAGGAUGAGUGUAGAAAAUGCCAAAUGUGGGACAUGGAAAAGGUCUGACAUAAUGGGCAUAUUUUGUUUACGCAGAUUUGGAACUUAAAAAAGAAAUCUGUUCUCAAUUACAAGAUGAGAACUAUCUAUUGUGUAAAGUUAAGGAAUCCAAAGAUUCCUUACAGGUGACAAAGUUUAAUAUGGUCAUCAAGCUUCCACCUCUAUGUAUUGUACUGUACUCCUUUUAUCCAAAAACCAUGUGUCAGCUGACUUACCUUCCUGGUUGCAAUGAAGAAGAAUCAUUAAUCAUAAGUGAAGAGGUUAACAUGGUCAUUUGGCAUCCACCUCCAUGUACUGUACUGUAUUCUUUCUAUGUGAAAAUCGUAUGUCAGCUGACUUGCCUUUCUGGUUGCAAUGAAGAAGAACCAUUAGAGUCAAAAUUAUUAAAUGGUGAAAAGGUUAAUGUGGUCAUCUAACUUCCACCUUCAUGUAUUGUCCUCCAUUUAACUGAAAAACAUGUCAGCUGAAUUACCUACCUGGUUGUCGAAAAUUAUUAAAAGAAUGUUCUGGUGUUCGUGACACGACCUGAGAGGUUUGAGAAGAAGAGCUACAUCCAAGUAACAGCCUAUUGUUUAUGUUCAACAGUGGGUCAGUGGAUCUUACAUUAUUAUAUCCCCAAAUGAUUGCCUGUGUUGACCAGCAGGCCUUGAAUGGCAAACAAGUGUCAAAUAGUUUUGAAGAUAGCAGUUACCCCACUUUAAGUGUCAUUCCAACAUCUCUGCAAGCAAGGGAUUUGUUUUGAACCCUCUUUAUUCUGGACUGGCGGCCACAGAAUUCUUUUUCCAUACGAGUGGACGCGAGGGUUUGCUUGAUACUGCCGUACAGACCUACAUACAUAAACGUAGAAUUUUUAUGGAGGAUCAAGGCAAACGAAUCCAGAAGGUGCGAGAGUGUUACAAGAAUGAAUAUAUAGUAGAAAACCAUUUGGAUUGCGUAACCAUUAGUCAAUUUUUUUCAGUUUAGUUAGUCAACUUUUCACUUGAAUGCCUCAAAUAAUUUUGAUUGUCAUACUAAGGAACGGUUGCCGGAGCCUUUUGCGCGCAGAGCAUUGGUGAACCUGGCACUCUUAAAGCCAAAUGACGCUAAAGACUUUUCGUUUUGCUUGUAUGGCAUCAAUGAACAUCAUACCGACAGCUCCUAUGAUUAAGGAAACCAUUUACGCCUCAAAAGCAACCAGUGCACUUGUUAUGGAUGAUGAAUUUAUGUAUCACGUAAGCUAUAUAAACAAAUACUUUUAUGCUUACAAUGUUUUAUUUUCUUAAUAUAGAUUUAUAAUCAAAUUGGAUCUGAAAGGAUUCUGGUUAGAAGAAUAUACCGAAAGAUUAUAACGCCUGGAAGCACGGAAUGGAAUUUCAUAUUUGACUAGUAUUUCCGUGUGUUACGGUAUAAAUUAUUUAAAAAUUGAAGUGCA